UAAUGCAGUUCGAUUUUGGAUUUGAAUCGCUAAAAUAUUUUAUUAACUAUAAAGUCCUAAAGAGUAGUUUAUAGGCAAAAGUAUUUUUAAAUAUUAUAUUUUGAGAGAAUUCUUGUCCCAAGAGUUGAAUCAUAUGAAGAUAUGAUUUAACAAAUUUUUUGUUGCAUUUUAUUUGACUCGAUUUGGAGCUCUAAAUCAAAAGUUGUAUUCAAAAGACAAAAAAUAGAAAAGAAAAAAAAAGAACAAAAAAAAGAGAAGAAAUGGCCGGCCUGGCCAAAUGGGCCGAACCGGCCCGUUCACUUCGCGCCGAGCCAGGCCGCAGCCCAGCACGCGCCGCCCGAGCCGCUGCCAUGCGUGCCCCGCCCGUCAGCUUCGCCUUCAACCUCCAACCGCCAGGCCGAUUCUUCCGGCCAUGAACCGCGCGCGCACGCCACGGCCACCUCCCCGAUUUGUCCGCGCCACGACCCCCUUUACCGAAACCGAGCGCAUCACUUUUUAGGCCCCGAGUUCCUCUUCUUUUUCCCCGUCCUCUCCCACUCGAUUCGCCCCCAGGCUGCCCGAAUCUAGCCGCCGCCGAGAUUCGCUCGCCGCCGGUGACCAAAAGGUUCGAAGCCGCCGCCACCCCCCUUUUCCUUCC
RNAcentral lists this long non-coding RNA (637 nucleotides) under Brachypodium distachyon (stiff brome). Its description in RNAcentral is "long non-coding RNA (BDIS_LNC004335)". The record is from RNAcentral. Lineage: Eukaryota; Viridiplantae; Streptophyta; Magnoliopsida; Poales; Poaceae.